GUAUUUUUUCGAGUUAUUGGAAAACUAUUUGAUGACAGGAGCGUAGCAUGUGAGUAUUCUUUUUUUUCCUGAGGAAAGGGUGAAGAAGCUGUGGGCAAUAGUAAGCAAGUGAAGAGAGUGAAGGGGCUGGAGGGGAAACCACCUGCGGAGGAGCAGAGAGCGGUGGGGCCAGAGGAGAUGAAAGAGUAAGGUUUUGAUAGCUUCCUUCAAAGCCCCUCCAAAAGAACAAGAUGUUUCUUUUGUUCUUGAAGCAACUCCCAGACAGGAAGCCAGGGCACGAGAUGAAGAUCAACUUGUUUCCUUCUUUAAAAAAAAAAAAAAAAAGUGCCUUUCUAAGAUGUCAAGGUUUUAGUGCUCCUACGCAAUGUCACCCCAGCCCUCAUCAAAUAUAUUUUAGGACUCACGAGGGAGGAUGUUUACAUUGAUGACGAGCUGGCAAACAGUUUCUGAACAAUGUGCUUUUCAGAUCAAGGCUCGACCUUUCUGUUAUAUACAGAAGAGAAGAGAAGAGAAGAGAAGAGAAGAGAAGAGAAGAGAAGAGAAGAGAAGAGAAGAGAAGAGAAGAGAAGAGAAGAGAAGAGAAGAGAAGAGAAGAGAAGAGAAGAGAAGAGAAGAGAAGAGAAAUGCCUUUCGUAGUACAAACGCACCCUUGAUAUUUAUGCACAGCCACGACGGGGCUAAUCAAUCAUCAAUAUGCAACUGGUUAUAGCCUCACACACGCUCACGCAGAGCAGAAAGGUCAAAAGACAUUUGUAGGCCUAAAUUAAAUAUGGAAGAUGAUACUUUAGAGCCACUCUUUUACCCUGUCUCCAAUUCAAACAUGCUCUAUUUACAUAAAGCCAUUUACAGUACAGCAGGAGCACUGAAAUCUAAUGAAAAACGUGAUUGUAAAUAAAUGCAUUAUGAAGAAAAAUAAUAGGUAAAAAACUGUGAAUUUAAAUGAAAAUAUGCAUGAAAGAAAAUGAUAAAUAUAGGGGAGCUUUUUUUCUCGUUGCAGCAUAUUUUUCUUUUACUAACACAAUUAAUUUUGGGAAUAUUUUUGGAUGCCUCUGCAUCACUGCAAUUUUUUUUUUCACCAGCACUGAUCAUUAAGCUGUUAUCCACUUUUACAAGCAAUUUCUAUUUAUUUUUUUUUAUUUUUUUUUAGGACACUGAGAAAUACCUCCUUCUCCAAGUAGAAACAAAGCAGGUUUUUCUACACGCUGCGCUCGGCGUGUUACUUCAGAAAUAAAAAAUAUAUAUUUUUACCCAUUUACAAAUUAAUAUACAGUCACAUUUGAGCUUUCUCUCGUUUUAUCUGCCUCUCGCUCUCACUCGUGCUGUAUCUUGUUGACUUUCUGCCAGUGGUGAAUGUUGAUUUCUGUCUGUUAUGAAUCCAAACUGCUGUCAACACUCUGCGGGUGUCAUCGUAACAUACUAAUCUUCCCUCUUUGUCCCAAAGGCGCAAAGUCAAAUCAGAGAGAAAUAAAAUAAGGGAGGUGGGGGAAGAAGAAAAAAGUGGAUGAACGGAUAUUGAGAGCGAGAGAGAGCGAGUGAGAGUGGUCACAUCACACAGCACUGCAGGAAGUCUUCCUCCAGUCAAUCAUAACCGCCA
Astatotilapia calliptera (eastern happy) is the source of this 1594-nucleotide long non-coding RNA. Lineage: Eukaryota; Metazoa; Chordata; Actinopteri; Cichliformes; Cichlidae. The record is from Ensembl.